GUGACUCUAGUUUAAUUGGUAGAACAUAAUGGUCUAGGUUCAAAUCCUAGGAGUUGCA
Molecule: transfer RNA, 58 nt
Filed under: Caudoviricetes sp.
Lineage: Duplodnaviria; Heunggongvirae; Uroviricota; Caudoviricetes
Description: tRNA-OTHER
Rfam family: tRNA
About the family: Transfer RNA (tRNA) molecules are approximately 80 nucleotides in length. Their secondary structure includes four short double-helical elements and three loops (D, anti-codon, and T loops). Further hydrogen bonds mediate the characteristic L-shaped molecular structure. tRNAs have two regions of fundamental functional importance: the anti-codon, which is responsible for specific mRNA codon recognition, and the 3' end, to which the tRNAs corresponding amino acid is attached (by aminoacyl-tRNA synthetases). tRNAs cope with the degeneracy of the genetic code in two manners: having more than one tRNA (with a specific anti-codon) for a particular amino acid; and 'wobble' base-pairing, i.e. permitting non-standard base-pairing at the 3rd anti-codon position.
Source: RNAcentral